ACGAACGCUGGCGGCGUGCUUCACACAUGCAAGUCGAACGGAAAGGCCCUGCUUUUGUGGGGUGCUCGAGUGGCGAACGGGUGAGUAACACGUGAGUAACCUGCCCUUGACUUUGGGAUAACUUCAGGAAACUGGGGCUAAUACCGGAUAGGAGCUCCUGCUGCAUGGUGGGGGUUGGAAAGUUUCGGCGGUUGGGGAUGGACUCGCGGCUUAUCAGCUUGUUGGUGGGGUAGUGGCUUACCAAGGCUUUGACGGGUAGCCGGCCUGAGAGGGUGACCGGCCACAUUGGGACUGAGAGACGGCCCAGACUCCUACGGGAGGCAGCAGUGGGGAAUAUUGCACAAUGGGCGGAAGCCUGAUGCAGCAACGCCGCGUGCGGGAUGACGGCCUUCGGGUUGUAAACCGCUUUCGCCUGUGACGAAGCGUGAGUGACGGUAAUGGGUAAAGAAGCACCGGCUAACUACGUG
This 467-nucleotide ribosomal RNA is filed under the name uncultured bacterium. RNAcentral describes it as "partial 16S ribosomal RNA". It matches the Rfam family "Bacterial small subunit ribosomal RNA", at positions 29 to 507 of the family's 1533-position model. The record is from RNAcentral.